Molecule: small RNA, 133 nt
Filed under: Citrobacter sp. Cu233
Lineage: Bacteria; Pseudomonadati; Pseudomonadota; Gammaproteobacteria; Enterobacterales; Enterobacteriaceae
Description: RtT sRNA
Rfam family: RtT RNA
About the family: This family represents a bacterial cis-regulatory element known as RtT RNA. The exact function of RtT is unknown although it is thought that it may be involved in changing the cellular response in relation to amino acid starvation.
Source: RNAcentral
GCUUUCCGGAAUCCACAAGGAUGAGAACCUCCGGGGGCAAGAGGUUCGACUCGAGCGGAGCGAGAGAACGUUGCGUCAGCAACGGCCCGCAGGGCGAGCCACGAAGUGGCGAGUAAUCCUCUAUCACCGACCA